This 269-nucleotide ribosomal RNA is filed under the name uncultured archaeon. RNAcentral describes it as "partial 16S ribosomal RNA". It matches the Rfam family "Archaeal small subunit ribosomal RNA", at positions 478 to 747 of the family's 1478-position model. The record is from RNAcentral.
AGCUCUCCGAGUAGUGUGGAUGUUUAUUGGGCCUAAAGCAUCCGUAGCUUGCUAGGCAAGUCCCCUGUUAAAUCCACCGAUUCAAUCGAUGGUUUGCGGGGGAUACUGUUUGGCUAGGGGACGGGAGAGGUCGACGGUAUUUCCGGGGUAGGGGUGAAAUCCUAUAAUCCCGGGAGGACCACCAGUGGCGAAGGCUGUCGACUAGAACGCGCCCGACGGUGAGGGAUGAAAGCUGGGGGAGCGAACCGGAUUAGAUACCCGAGUAGUCC